Molecule: transfer RNA, 97 nt
Filed under: Maricaulis maris
Lineage: Bacteria; Pseudomonadati; Pseudomonadota; Alphaproteobacteria; Maricaulales; Maricaulaceae
Description: tRNA-Asp
Source: RNAcentral
CAUCGUUGCCGGCGCCGUAAAGCCGGGCGAUGCCAUCGUCGUGGCGCAGUCGGGACAGGCUGCCAAUGUUGAGCGGAUCGUGACCGCUGACGGUGAC